UAAACUCCGUUGAGCCUUAGCCAUUUUAUUCAUCAUAAACCCCAUGUUAACCACUAAUCAUUCAUUUCUUCCAUCAAUCGGCAUGAUUGUUAUGAGUUGCAAGAUGUGCAUAAAGCUAAGUUUGGGGUGCUAAUCUUGAAAGAUAGGGCAAGUGCAUAAUAAGUGAUCAUACAAAAAGAAAAGAUUUGUGUAUGUCCAACAAAAAAAAAAGAAACAAAAGAGAAAAAUGCACUUGCAGAGACUUAAGACUCUAACACCUAUAAAAUGCUCGAAAAAAUUGAGUAGAAAAAGAGUCAAAAGAGUGAAAUUAACCCCCAGAGUAUACGUGAUGCACG
Molecule: long non-coding RNA, 335 nt
Filed under: Lathyrus oleraceus (garden pea)
Lineage: Eukaryota; Viridiplantae; Streptophyta; Magnoliopsida; Fabales; Fabaceae
Description: Pisum sativum (pea) long non-coding RNA (PSAT_LNC041816)
Source: RNAcentral